UGUUUAAAACUUUAUUCAUUUAUAUUGCUAAAACUAGCUUGGCUGAUGAAACAAUCUGAUAGUGACAUGUGAUGUGUCAUAUAUAUCUCAUGUUAAUGUGUAAGGACAAGCUUUUAACGGUAGAAAUGGAUGAAACUUUUAAUG
Molecule: microRNA precursor, 144 nt
Filed under: Gossypium arboreum
Lineage: Eukaryota; Viridiplantae; Streptophyta; Magnoliopsida; Malvales; Malvaceae
Description: MIR7502 microRNA precursor family
Rfam family: MIR7502 microRNA precursor family
Source: Rfam by way of RNAcentral